UUGAACGCUGGCGGCAGGCCUAACACAUGCAAGUCGAACGGUAACAGGAAGAAGCUUGCUUCUUUGCUGACGAGUGGCGGACGGGUGAGUAAUGUCUAGGAAACUGCCUGAUGGAGGGGGAUAACUACUGGAAACGGUAGCUAAUACCGCAUAACGUCGCAAGACCAAAGAGGGGGACCUUCGGGCCUCUUGCCAUCGGAUGUGCCCAGAUGGGAUUAGCUAGUAGGUGGGGUAACGGCUCACCUAGGCGACGAUCCCUAGCUGGUCUGAGAGGAUGACCAGCCACACUGGAACUGAGACACGGUCCAGACUCCUACGGGAGGCAGCAGUGGGGAAUAUUGCACAAUGGGCGCAAGCCUGAUGCAGCCAUGCCGCGUGUAUGAAGAAGGCCUUCGGGUUGUAAAGUACUUUCAGCGGGGAGGAAGGGAGUAAAGUUAAUACCUUUGCUCAUUGACGUUACCCGCAGAAGAAGCACCGGCUAACUCCGUG
This 489-nucleotide ribosomal RNA is filed under the name uncultured bacterium. Its description in RNAcentral is "partial 16S ribosomal RNA". It matches the Rfam family "Bacterial small subunit ribosomal RNA", at positions 30 to 507 of the family's 1533-position model. The record is from RNAcentral.